Molecule: unclassified non-coding RNA, 136 nt
Filed under: uncultured fungus
Lineage: Eukaryota; Fungi
Description: sequence contains ITS1, 5.8S rRNA gene
Source: RNAcentral
CAGAGCCCAGGCUCCAGACCGCGCGGACCAUGCAGUCGCUGCGCCCCGGCGGGGGGCCCCAGGGGGGGCCGCGGGGGACCCGCCGGAGGCAAGCACCUCUACGUCGUACCACCGUAUCUUCUGUACCUUCCAAACA